AAGGGCACCACAAGAACGCGUGGAGCAUGUGGCUUAAUUUGACUCAACGCGGGAAAUCUUACCGGGUCCGGACACACUGAGGAUUGACAGGCAAUAUUAAUUAAUUAUAUUUUUUUUAUUCUUUCGGGAAUAAAUUAAUAUAUUUUAAUUAUGUUAAAUAUGCUAGUCCUUUCAUGAUUAUGUGAUAGGUGGUGCAUGGCCGUUCUUAGUUCGUGGAGUGAUCUGUCUGCUUAAUUGCGUUUCACUAAGGAUCUAUAAUUUACGUAUGUUUGCGGUAAUUUUGACCCCUCACUUUUGAGUGCGUGUUUUAAUUUACUUAGCAUCAUACAUUUAGAUUCUGAAAGCAACGAACGUGACCGCAACCUCUUGUUGCCUUUGAUUUCCACUAUAUUAUUUUAAUUUAUUUAUAAAUUUUAAUUUUAUAGUAAAAAGGCUUUCUAUAAAACUAGAGGGACUGCUGUAACUUUCUUAAACCAGAGGAAGGAUGCGGCAAUAACAGGUCUGUGAUGCCCUUAGAUGUUCCGGGCUGCACACGUGCUACAAUGAUUGUUGCAGUGAGCAUCUCAUUUUUUACACACCAUUUGUACGAGUGAGAAUAUACUUUUUAAGUAUUUUCUUUUACUCUGUACAUGGUAAAGCCUACUUCGAAAGUAAGUGGGUAAUCAAUUAGAAGUAACGAUUUCCUUUUUUAUAGCACAAAUAUAUACGGCGAUUAUAUCCGGGAUAUGCUUGUCAUAUCUUUGUGUAUAUGAUUGUUUUUUUCCGUAUGUGCAAUUGUCAAUUCAUGGUGGGGACAGACCAUUGUUAAUUGUUGGUCUCGGUCUUAACUAGGAAUGCCUUGUACGGGUCUUGGUCAACAGACCACCCGGAAUACGUCCCUGCCCUUGUACACACCGCCCGUCGCUCUUACCGAUGGACUUCUCUGUGAGUUUGAGGGACUGAGAAUCUUACAAAAUUUAUUUUGUAUAUCUUAUGGAAACUUAAACGAACAGUGUGGUCUAAAGGAAAGAGAAGUCGUAACAAGGCAUCGGUAGGUGAACCU
This 1042-nucleotide ribosomal RNA is filed under the name Haplophragmoides wilberti. RNAcentral's name for it is "bacterial SSU rRNA". It matches the Rfam family "Eukaryotic small subunit ribosomal RNA", at positions 1160 to 1816 of the family's 1831-position model. Lineage: Eukaryota; Foraminifera; Textulariida; Lituolidae. The record is from RNAcentral.